Molecule: ribosomal RNA, 1080 nt
Filed under: uncultured marine group I thaumarchaeote
Lineage: Archaea; Thermoproteati; Nitrososphaerota
Description: bacterial SSU rRNA
Rfam family: Archaeal small subunit ribosomal RNA
Source: RNAcentral
CCAGNCCCUAUGGGGCGCAGCAGGNGAGAAAACUUUGCAAUGUGCGAAAGCACGACAAGNUUAGUCCGAGUGAUUUCUGCUAAAGAGAUCUUUUGCAAGUUCUAAAACCACUAGUGAAUAAGGGGUGGGCAAGUUCUGGUGUCAGCCGCCGCGGUAAAACCAGCACCUCGAGUGGUCAGGAGGAUUAUUGGGCCUAAAGCAUCCGUAGCCGGCUCUGUAAGUUUUCGGUUAAAUCCAUGCGCUCAACGCAUGGGCUGCCGAAAAUACUGCAGAGCUAGGGAGUGGGAGAGGUAGACGGUACUCGGUAGGAAGGGGUAAAAUCCUUUGAUCUAUCGAUGACCACCUGUGGCGAAGGCGGUCUACCAGAACACGUUCGACGGUGAGGGAUGAAAGCUGGGGGAGCAAACCGGAUUAGAUACCCGGGUAGUCCCAGCUGUAAACGAUGCAGACUCGAUGAUGCAUUGGCAUAUAGCCAGUGCAGUGUCGCAGGGAAGCCGUUAAGUCUGCCGCCUGGGAAGUACGUACGCAAGUAUGAAACUUAAAGGAAUUGGCGGGGGAGCACCACAAGGGGUGAAGCCUGCGGUUCAAUUGGAGUCAACGCCAGAAAUCUUACCCGGAGAGACAGCAGAAUGAAGGUCAAGCUGAAGACUUUACCAGACAAGCUGAGAGGUGGUGCAUGGCCGUCGCCAGCUCGUGCCGUGAGAUGUCCUGUUAAGUCAGGUAACGAGCGAGAUCCCUGCCAUUAGUUGCUAUCAUUAUUCUCAGGAAUAGUGGGGCGAACUAGUGGGACUGCCGUUGUUAAAACGGAGGAAGGAAGGGGCUACGGCAGGUCAGUAUGCCCCGAAACUCUGGGGCCACACGCGGGCUGCAAUGGUAGUGACAAUGAGUUCCAAACUCGAAAGAGAGUGGCAAUCUCCAAACACUACCACAGUUAUGACUGAGGGCUGUAACUCGCCCUCACGAAUAUGGAAUCCCUAGUAACCGCGCGUCAUUACCACGCGGUGAAUACGUCCCUGCUCCUUGCACACACCGCCCGUCGUUUCAUCGAAGUUUGCUUUUAGCGAGGUGAUGUUUAAUUGG